GAAAGCUCAAUUGGUCGAGCACGAGACUCUUCAUCUUGGUAUCGUGAGUUCGAAUCCCACGUUGGGCA
Non-coding RNA from Podarcis lilfordi (Lilford's wall lizard), 68 nucleotides. The record is from the annotation of a GenBank genome assembly. Lineage: Eukaryota; Metazoa; Chordata; Lepidosauria; Squamata; Lacertidae.